RNAcentral lists this long non-coding RNA (235 nucleotides) under Capsicum annuum. Its description in RNAcentral is "long non-coding RNA (CANN_LNC011244)". The record is from RNAcentral. Lineage: Eukaryota; Viridiplantae; Streptophyta; Magnoliopsida; Solanales; Solanaceae.
CUCCUUGUAUCCUCUCAGCCAACUCUGCCGGAUUAACCUCUAGCUCUGUUCUGGUCUCCACUAAGUGUUGCUCGGCGGUCUACUCCUUGUAUCCUCUCAGCCAACUCUGCCGGAUUUGCCUUUCUAGCUAACCACUGAGCUUUUUUUUCCUCCUCUUGUUAUUAUCUUAAGCUACCAUCUCACCAGUAUAACAAUUAACAAUAUCUUGUACUCCUUCAAGAAAAUGGGGAGGUAU